GAUGCUAUUCUAGAGAUAGAAAGUUACUUCGGUACAUCGGUGACAGGUGGUGCAUGGUUGUCGUCAGCUCGUGUCGUGAGAUGUGGUUAAGUCCCGCAACGAGCGCAACCCCUAUUGUUAGUUGCCAUCAUUCAGUUGGGCACUCUAGCGAGACUGCCGGUAAUAAACCGGAGGAAGGUGGGGAUGACGUCAAAUCAUCAUGCCCCUUAUGACCUGGGCUACACACGUGCUACAAUGGUUGGUACAACGAGUUGCGAGUCGGUGACGGCGAGCUAAUCUCUUAAAGCCAAUCUCAGUUCGGAUUGUAGGCUGCAACUCGCCUACAUGAAGUCGGAAUCGCUAGUAAUCGCGGAUCAGCACGCCGCGGUGAAUACGUUCCCGGGCCUU
Molecule: ribosomal RNA, 387 nt
Filed under: uncultured Streptococcus sp.
Lineage: Bacteria; Bacillati; Bacillota; Bacilli; Lactobacillales; Streptococcaceae
Description: bacterial SSU rRNA
Rfam family: Bacterial small subunit ribosomal RNA
Source: RNAcentral